This is a long non-coding RNA of Oreochromis niloticus (Nile tilapia), 2509 nucleotides long. The record is from Ensembl. NCBI's taxonomy places the organism in Eukaryota, Metazoa, Chordata, Actinopteri, Cichliformes, Cichlidae.
CUUGUGUCGUUCACUCAUUAAUGGAUCUUCAACACAUGUAAAUCUACAUACAUAUAAAAAUAUAUAACGUACCUGAACUUCCAGAGGAGGCUGAUGAAGGUGUGGAGCUUCCUGAAGCUGAGCUUAAACUCUGUGUUGUUGGUGGUGUGGAGGCUGAUGAGAGAAACACUGAAGCUGAAAAAGGUCUCAGAGUCCCGUUUGGUGUUGAAGUGGUUGAAGCUGUGAACAAUGAAACCAUCAGAGUCAUAAUAAGACCACUUGAAGCAGUUUAUAUAUCUGCAUGUGACUGACGUGGUUAUGGGCUGUUUGACAGCAGAACUGAUGAAACUUGAUGUUUCAGAUAAAUAUAACAUCUGUAGGUGAUUUGAAAGAAAAGUAGCUGCCUUUGAGACGGGAAACUUCUGUCACACCUUCAAAGACAAACACGACUGUUAGCAGAAACUCACCUGCUGUGACAAUCAGCUCAAAAUCAUCGUUUCCAUCUGGCCUCCAGUCUCUGACCAAAGAGCACCUGUACCGUCCUGAGUCAGACUGGUUCAGCUGUGUGAUGCUCACAUACAUAAUAUCAGAUGAGGUAACACCUUUGUUUUCAUAUUUAAUGCUGUAUCUGCCGUUCUGAGCUGCAUCAUCAGAUGUUUCCACAAGAAUGUUUCCAUUUUCACAUUUUUCCUUACAGAACAGUUUCCUGCUUCCUGAGGAAUAAAAGCUGCAUUUAACUGUGAUGUUUCCUCCUUCCUCUGCUCUGUGGGUGAGAGUUUGUGCUUUGACCAAACCAGUGUUUCCAUCCUGAAGUGCUGCUGAAAGGAUGAACAAUCAUUAGUUACAAUCUUACUAUAGAUUAAAUGUGACAGGUGAUUAUUAAUUUUAACUGAUCACAGAAGUUCAGUUAACUUCAUUUUUCUGUUUUUAUUUGCAAACAGCAAACUUCCUGUUUUAUACACGAACACAAAGCAUCUGAUGUGGAAGAUUCAGAGUUUAAGGAACUUCUUACUUCUCUUAAUUAUGAGGUCACGCCUUCAAACCACACACACACACACACACACACACACACACACACACACACACACACACACACACACACACACAAAGGCUUUUGUUUUUACUGCAAUAAUGUUUCUUUAUUUAAAUUUUCCUGUUUCCUGUCAUAACUAAAAGAUUUUUGAUUUUCAGAGCUUCAUUCAGGCUCUUAAGAAACCGACUGCAUGAAGUUUACUAAAGUACAAUUAUAGGAUAUAAACUAGACUAUUCUAUAACUAGACUAGACUAGUUAUAUCAAAAUGCUGUCAGUCCUCAAUUUUCAUCAGAUCAAACAGAACAAUUUUUAGUAUUUCAUUUAUCAGACUAUAUAGAAAUAAGAUGUCUAUUUAUUUACGACUUCUAUUUUUAGUUGUGUGUCACAAACUGAAUCUUUUAAUGUUCAAAAAUUCAUCCAUUCUCUACUCAAACUUAAACACAGUAAUGCAGUAAAGGGAAAUAUUUACCAGGUUUUUAUUUUUUAUUUAUUCUUUUUAGAUUAUUUGAAGUUAAUUUUUUUUUAAUAUAUUAUGUUGUUUCUAUCUGAAAAAACUCUGACCAAACAGAAGAGCCUUAUAUAUGUUCCAUAUUUACUUUACCCGUUUAUAAGCAUUUCUACCGCCAGGUCAAAAACAUACAAAAAAAAUAGACCAGUAGCCCCCAACCCCUGGGCCACGGAGCGGUACCGCGCCGUGAGAGUUGAGGCUUGUUUUUAUCCUUAACUCGGUGUCCCUGGGUCUUUUCCUCUGUGUUAUGAAUAAAUCUUCUUUGUUUUGGUACCGGUACUGGUUUUAUUUUGUUGUAUUUAUUCACGACACCUUAAAGGCCGGUCCAUGACAAUAUUGUCGGACAUAAACCGGUCCGUGGUGCAAAAAAGGUUGGGGACCACUGAAAUAGAUAUAUAAGCCAUUAUAUAUAUAUAUAUAUAUAUAUAUAAUGGCUUAUAUAUAUAUAUAUAUAUAUAUAUAUAUUAUAUAUAUAUAUAUAUAUAUAUAUAUAUAUAUACAUAUAAAAUGUACCUGUACACUGCCCAAUUUACAUAACCACGUGGCGGCAAGGACCUCACAGCACAUGCAUACUCCCAGUGUAUUAUAAGAGUGUGUUGCACACAAGGUUGGCAAAAGUACAGACAUUCUGUACUUACUUAGAAGUACAAAUACUGCUGUUAAAAAUACUCCAGUAAAAGUCGAAGUACUGAUUCAACUUCUUUACUCGGGUAAAAGUAAAAAAAAGUACAGGCUCUGAAAUGUAAAGCAAAAGUAAUAUAUUAAAAGCUCUUUGGAGGAUGUUUCUAUUUUGGUGCAAAGCUAACUGAACCUUGUGCUAUAAUAACAUAAUGAUAAAAUAAUAUCACUAGAUGGGAAUAAAAACUUUUGUCACGGCGGUGAACACCAGUAUGUUUGUGGGGCAGACCCAAAAGCAGACACAGGAGAAAUGAACUGAUGAUCAAACAAAAAGCGAGCCUUUAUUACAGCUGAUACAAAAAACAAAAAAC